RNAcentral lists this ribosomal RNA (253 nucleotides) under uncultured bacterium. RNAcentral's name for it is "partial 16S ribosomal RNA". It matches the Rfam family "Bacterial small subunit ribosomal RNA", at positions 524 to 776 of the family's 1533-position model. The record is from RNAcentral.
UACGGGGGGGGCAAGCGUUGUUCGGAAUUACUGGGCGUAAAGGGCUCGUAGGUGGCCAACUAAGUCAGACGUGAAAUCCCCAGGCUUAACCUGGGAACUGCGUCUGAUACUGGAUGGCUUGAAUUCGGGAGAGGGAUGUAGAAUUCCAGGUGUAGCGGUGAAAUGCGUAGAUAUCUGGAGGAAUACCGGUGGCGAAGGCGGCAUCCUGGACCGAGAUUGACACUGAUGAGCGAAAGCUAGGGGAGCAAACGGG